This 2293-nucleotide long non-coding RNA is filed under the name Acromyrmex echinatior (Panamanian leafcutter ant). RNAcentral describes it as "uncharacterized LOC105150383". The record is from RNAcentral. Lineage: Eukaryota; Metazoa; Arthropoda; Insecta; Hymenoptera; Formicidae.
AACAAUGCAGCAAUUCUUAAAAGUGAAGAAUUUGACGAUUAAUGGACUUAGAGGUUACAAAAAGACAUAAUCAUUGCAGACAGAGGGUUAUUGUGAUGUCCUUUUUUGGAAGAAGAAGGAAUUGAUUGUAAGAUUCCACCUGUCCUCAAAAGAGGUGAAUUUCAACAUACUACAAAGGCAGCUAAUGAAUCUCGAUUGAUUACAAAAUCUAGCUGAGGCAAUAAUAAAUCGCUACCGAAACUUAAUAUUAAUGGAAGAAGCUACUGUAGAGUUUACUCAUAGAAUAAUUGAAAAAGUCAAUACUCCAAACGAUGUGCAAGCAAGAGUAGAACAGGAGAAUCUUUUUAGGAAGAAUGCUGUAUAGAACAAAUUAAAUGAGAAUCAUGCCUAGAAUUUUCCAAGAUGUGAUAUGAAUUAUUGGAAGAAUUAAUGUUCAAUAUUUAUCAAAUAGGACUGGUGCCAUCUUAUAUUCAAGAUAAACACGAUAUAGAGGCAACUGAUGUCUUCGAAUUUGAUAAAGAUAGAGAUGAAUCGGGCUUUAUACAAAUAAGAUUAUAUUCACGAUUUCGCAAUUAAAUUAAAUAUCAAAUAUGGAUUGCUCAUCAACUGGAUAAUGAGGAUGAUGAGAGAGAGAGAGAAUCGAUUCUAGGAUAUUAUUGCAUAUAAAACUGAUGCAAGAAUCUUGGAAUGUUGCGCUCAUCUAACGAGUAUUAUAUGGUUUUUGAGCUAUGCACGACAUCAGCUUAAUGUGAAAUAUCCAAGCAAAACUGUCUUAAAUCGAAUUAUGAAUAUUGAUAGGAAUAAUCAAGAAUAGGAUGAUAUAGAUAAAUAGGUUGAAUGUGAGAGAUGAAGGGACUCACGUUAAACAAGCACUCCGAUGUGAGAGGCGAGAGAACUCAUGUUAAACAAGCACCUCGAUGUGGGAGGCGAGGGUACUCACGUUAAACAAGUAUCCCGAUGUGGGAGGCGAGAGGACUCACAUUAAAUAAACACAUUGUAUAUGUAUAUUAUAAUACAUAUAAAAGAAAGCAUCAAGUUAUUUUAAGAAGAUAUGGCGGCAUUCAAAUUCUGUGACUUCAAAGCGCUAUAUCUUUUUAUCUGUUGAUUUUAUGUAAAUGUGGCAAUGGAGAUAUUUGUUCAGAAUCACAAAAGUACAACAUAUCUCAAAAUGGAGCAAUUUAACCGGAGACAUUUUUCCAUAAGAAACGUGCGGGAUCCUUUGCAUAGUUUGACGCUUUGGGGUGGAGUAAAUUUUUCUCAUAAAUGUCAUAGUAACCCUCGUAAAGUAUGGACUUUUCUUUUACAAAUUAAAAAAAAUUAAGUUUUAUACGAUUUUUUUCGAGGAGAUAUAGUGUAUCAAACUUAUUUAUGCAUUUUAUUCAAUUACCGCCAAUAUUAACAUUACCCGGUGCUACGGAAAGGUUACUAGUCUGAUUUUACGUGCGCGCGCACGCGUGUGUUUGUGUAUAUGUGUGUGGGGAGAGCAGAAGUAUGUGGGAAUAUAUUUGCUCUUUAAAAUUGUGUAUUUCCGCCUCGUCUUUGGAUGAUCUCUUGUAAAUAUGCACUUAUGCAAGCUCUAAUUGAAGCCUGUGAAGAAUUUCCCAUAUUUGAUGCAAUGCUGCUUCCAGUGGCUGCAAAUUUGUUAAUUGUUCUUCAAAUCUUCAUAGGCUUCCGAUCAUACAUAUUCAAUGGGAUUCAAAUCCGCGUUUAUUGAUGGAUAUGGUAGCAUCUUAAUAUUUUAUUAUGAUGUAGGAUAAUGCUCACCUACAUACCGCUAAAAUUGCAAUUAACUUCGUGGAAAAAACAUUCAAAGACGAGGCGGAAAUACACAAUUUUAAAGAGCAAAUAUACCCCAAAUAAUCCCACAUACUUCCACUCUUCCCUCCCUCCCCUCCCUCACACAUACACACGCGCACGCGCACAAAAUCAGACUAGCAACCUUCCCAUGGUGCAUAUCGGGAAAUGCUAAUGGUGGCGGUAAUUGAAUAAAAUGCAUUGCUAAGUUUGAUACAUCGUAUCUCCUCGAAAAAAAAUCGUACAAAACUUAAUUUUUUUUAAACUUGUACAAGAAAAGUUCAUACUUUUCGAUGGUUAUCUUGAUAUUUACGAGAAAAAUUUACUUCAUCCCGUAGAGUGCAUCAAACUGUGCAAAUGUCUUAAAAAAAAUUCGUUCUUAUUUUUGAAAAGAUGCCAAGGGACAAGGAUAGAUUCAAAAUCCAUUUGUAAAGUAACUUUGUAAAGUACAGACAUACUUGAUACAUACUUGAAAAUAAAAAAAAACUUUUAAAUGCGA